Long non-coding RNA from Calidris pugnax (ruff), 1881 nucleotides. RefSeq lists it as uncharacterized. The record is from RefSeq and is a predicted model, not a curated record. The transcript is spliced from 2 exons. NCBI's taxonomy places the organism in Eukaryota, Metazoa, Chordata, Aves, Charadriiformes, Scolopacidae.
AAAAAAAAAAAAGGUCAGAAUCUUUCCCAGGAAUUGCAGGAAACUUCCAUGAAGACACUUGCAGGUCUUCCUUCGGGGCUGGAGAUCACUCUUUGCACCAUGCAAGAGGCCAACAUUUUAGAAUUAUAGAAUGUUUUGGGUUGGAAGACACCUUAAAGAUCAUUGAGUUCCAACCCCCUGCCAUGGGCAGGGACACCUCCCACUAGACCAGGUUGCUCAAAGCCCCAUCCAGCCUGGCCUUGAACCCCUCCAGGGGGCUACACUUUGCUGGGAUAAAAGUUAGUUUCUCUUUUUGCUCAGGGACCAAAAAUAAUCAAAUGUAAAGCAGGGCCUGCCCAGCUUGUCCUGGAACUGUGUCCCUGGUAACCCCUGCUCCUGGUGGCUUAGUUCUGCUGGUGAGCAAUGCAUCACUACCUUAUCAUACCCCAGCUGCAGAGGAGGUAAACCUCACACCCCUGUAAAGUCACAAGUGCUAGAGCAGGACAGAGGAAAUGUCAAGCCCUUCUGGUCCAUCUACUCAGCAGCUGAGAAGGUGACUUAUGGACUCAGCAGCUGGUCUGACCAGCUCAUGUCUCCAUGACAUGUCUCCAUGAAAUGACUCAGUCUCCAUGGGGCAGGGAGUGAAAGGCCCAUGGUGGCUGAAUUCCUGGUCAAUAAGCCUUAGCAGUGCAACAGGAUGAGUGUGGACCAUCCCUGGAGGUCUGUCCCAGCAGGAGCCAAGCUGGCUGAGGACGAGCAUGUUUCAUGACGUAGGGAGCAACAUGGUUUCUGAUGACCUCCUUGGCUGCAGAACCCAGGAGCGACCAGCUCGUAGCGUCUGUCACUGGGGCACCAGGAUGGUGAAAUCACCCAAGCAGAAACAGCAGCUCUGUUUGCAAGCAUUCAGGUGCCAGUGGUGCCGCAGAGGUGAGCGGUGGGAGGUGGUUGGACCUCGUGCUCCCUUGUCCCUGCUGUCCACCUCAGCAGUAGGAUCUGCCCCACAAGCCCAGCGCUGCUCCUCUCUCCCCUUGACCCAGGUGAGGUGGGAAGAGGACACGGGUGCCCCUUGAGUUUCUCUGCUGUUCCUCUAAUGACCUCAGCCACCAGAAUGAGAUGUGACACGGCUGGUCAAUACCAGCCCCCAACUGUGAGUUGUCACUGCCUAUGGCAUCCUCUGCUAUUAAAAAAAAUAAUAAUCUUUCUUUUUUUUCUCAUAUAAAAUAGGUUUACUAAGUCAGUAUGACCCUAUAGCACCCAAGAAGAAAAGUGAAUUAAUCACUAACUAAUGUGAAUGUUAAAAUGUGAUAUUUUUUUUUUUUAUUAUUCUUAUUUUAAUUUACAGAUUGUACCUUCUCCAUUUUCAUCCUGGCAUUCAGUGCUGCCAUGAGCUAGGGCAAACUUUUCAAACUCUCACAUUACUUAAAAUUACCAUGCUAGUCUACGUGCACCUAUUUGCAAAUUAGACUUUCUCAUCUCUGCCAGUAUGUCCUAAUGUGUUAAUGUAAAACCGGGUAAGAGCUGUUCUUUAGUUUGGGUUUUUAAGCCAGUUGCAUGUCACUAGUUUUUGGCAUUGCCAUUUUUAUGAGUAAUGACUGGUCUGUGAAUUUCUCUUGUAGAAUUAUAAACCAUCUUUUGCUUCGUCAUUAUUGAACUUUCUGACAUUCACAAGAUUUUUGAAUUGCUCUUAAUUGUGCAAACUGACAUUUUGUAUAUAGACGAACAACGGUUAGGUUCUACUUUAGUGAUUAAUACUCAUCAUUAAGGCUCUUAGAUCAAAUAAGGUAUAUUGUGAAUUUCUGAGCAAGAGAAUUGAAACUUCCUUAUUUUAGUAAUCUAACAUCUUAAGUGAAUUUUGUAUUUCAAGGACAAAAUAAAAAUGAAUAUAUCUAUUUUAAUAUUGAA